GACGAACGCUGGCGGCGUGCUUAACACAUGCAAGUCGAACGUGAUUUUUGUGGAAAUUCUUUCGGGAAUGGAAAUGAAAUGAAAGUGGCGAACGGGUGAGUAACACGUGAGCAACCUACCUUACACAGGGGGAUAGCCGUUGGAAACGACGAUUAAUACCGCAUGAGACCACAGAAUCGCAUGAUAUAGGGGUCAAAGAUUUAUCGGUGUAAGACGGGCUCGCGUCUGAUUAGCUAGUUGGAAGGGUAAAGGCCUACCAAGGCGACGAUCAGUAGCCGGUCUGAGAGGAUGAACGGCCACAUUGGAACUGAGACACGGUCCAAACUCCUACGGGAGGCAGCAGUGGGGAAUAUUGCACAAUGGGGGGAACCCUGAUGCAGCGACGCCGCGUGAGCGAAGAAGGUUUUCGAAUCGUAAAGCUCUGUCCUAUGAGAAGAUAAUGACGGUAUCAUAGGAGGAAGCCCCGGCUAAAUACGUG
RNAcentral lists this ribosomal RNA (478 nucleotides) under uncultured bacterium. RNAcentral describes it as "partial 16S ribosomal RNA". It matches the Rfam family "Bacterial small subunit ribosomal RNA", at positions 28 to 507 of the family's 1533-position model. The record is from RNAcentral.